CAGUAGCCACGGUAACACGUAGGUGGCGAGCGUUGUCCGGAAUUAUUGGGCGUAAAGGGAGCGCAGGCGGGCGAGUAAGUCUUUCUUAAAAGUGCGGGGCUCAACCCCGUGAGGGGAGAGAAACUACUCAUCUUGAGUGCAGGAGAGGAAAGCGGAAUUCCUAGUGUAGCGGUGAAAUGCGUAGAUAUUAGGAAGAACACCAGUGGCGAGGCGGCUUUCUGGACUGUAACUGACGCUGAGGCUCGAAAGCCAGGGGAGCGAACGGGAUUAGAUACCCGCGUAGUCCCUGUCUCUUAUACAC
RNAcentral lists this ribosomal RNA (301 nucleotides) under uncultured bacterium. RNAcentral's name for it is "partial 16S ribosomal RNA". It matches the Rfam family "Bacterial small subunit ribosomal RNA", at positions 509 to 810 of the family's 1533-position model. The record is from RNAcentral.